UUUCAUGUUGCUGUUAUGGGAGAAAGUCAGAUAGAAAAGGUUGAGAAGUGAUAGUCUACAGAUACAAGAUUGUUAGAAAAAGUAUGCAGACCGCAGUUGACAAGAGUUGUGCAGAGUAAAGAAUUUGGUUAUCUUGAAAGUGGCUGCUCAGGAAAGAAAGGAUCGGUUGGGGUAAUCAAGGGAUCGACCAUGAGUUGUUUUGAUAUGGGAAGAUUAAGAUAAGGAAAGAGCUAAUAUCCAUAACUCCUUUCAGAGACUGUUCAGUAAAGAGUGUACAUCUAUGUUUUCAGAAUUCGGGGACGAAUUCUUUUGAGGAGGGAAGAAUGUAAUAACCCUCACGAGCAGAUAUAAUUUUGGUCGAGAAAAAUCCCGCUCGACCAGUUUGGAGUUGGUUCGACAAGAAUUAAAAAUAAAAAUCGACCCCGUGAAUUAUUCUUGAUGGGAUUAUCUCGAGGCCAAAGUACCUACUCUUAAUAGUUCUGACCAAGUGUUAAUUAUUAUGGUCGAGUUUUUUCUAAGCUGUACGAGAACCGAUGGAUGGGAAACAUUUUAUCGAAAACUGGUCUUGAAUACUUUCAGCUGCUUGCGAGUCAUGUGCAUGUCAUGUGCUGCCUGGCUGCUUGCUUUCUUCCUAACCUGAACAUGUGACUUGCACCUUCCAGCUUGCUUGCUACAUUAAAGUCAUGUGAGUUGCACACCUGCUUGAAGUUUCUUCAUGGAAAGGAAAUGACAUUACUUCAUGGGAAGGAAAGUGUGAUUCAGCUCACCACAUGUCUCAUACUGAUCUGAAAAUUUUGUCCCUUCUUGCUGACUCUUCUCCUGCUGUUUCCCCUGUCAUUUAUUACCUUGUCCUCUUCAUGGUCGAGCUCAUUCAUCUCAGAAACAAGAAAGAAAAAUUCAGAGAGAAAGAGAGAAAGAAAGAGAGAAAAAUCUGUGAGGAAAAUACAUGAAAAAUUCAGAAAAAAAUAAGAGAAGAGGAGUGUGAGCAUGGCUGACCCUUUCUCACCAUCUUGUGACUUUAAUCAGUGAGUAUUCAUGUGGUAAAGAGUUGGAGAUUUGGUGUCCUGAAGUUGAGAAUCACCCAUGUUCUUCAGCCUUUGGUUUUGAUCGGUUAGGAGUGGCUUCAAUGAUAAGUUGUGUACCAUCUGAAUUCAGAAGAUUGUUGAUUUGAAUCGGUAAGAGCUUAUGGGUUUGAUGAGAUCAGUUUUUGUUAA
Molecule: long non-coding RNA, 1214 nt
Organism: Brassica rapa (field mustard)
Lineage: Eukaryota; Viridiplantae; Streptophyta; Magnoliopsida; Brassicales; Brassicaceae
Source: RefSeq, a predicted model, not a curated record